GAUUUAGAAAGUGAAGAACUAUAGAAACAACUUCCUGCUUUACAACAACUGCUAUAUCGACUUAUGGGAUGCAGGCUAAGGUUACAGGUCAACAACACUGUCAUGUAAAGCAAAUGACAAACUUAUUUGGUAUUCUAAAAUAAAAAAAGCAACUUGAGUUGUUUCUUAUUGAUAGUGUUUUUGUUUUAUGACAGACCUUAUUCAUUCUCCUCUUGGGCAAUUACCACUAACCAUUGAAGACCGUAUGCAAACAUUCUCAACAUACAGGAACAAGAAAACAAAGAGGAAUUUUGGCAGAAAAUCAAGGAAACGAAUGAGAGAAAAUUGAAGCUUUGAAAAGGCAUCAAAUGAGACUUUUGGUCAACUGGAAGAGACAAAAAGUGGACGAGAUUAAUGGUGAAUGUACCAAAUGAGCAUUGGAAUCCGGUUAUACCCAGCGGAAGUUCUUGGGCUCCGAUGAGUCCAGGGAAACUGAUCUAUGAAAGAUCAAAUUUUAUCAAAACAAUAUUGCACAAAGGAACUUGAACCCCUAAAAAAUCAGCAAUCCACUACAUUUAAUUUGGACAUGAUUUUGAAGAGCAUUUACGCAAACUUGAUCCAACCCGGCGCCAACGACGCAAGUAAUUCCCUACUAGUUAAUAAUUAAAUAUAAAAAAUUGAGUGAACUAACUUAUUUUGACUUUUUUUAUAUAUAUAAAAAGUAAUUUUCAUA
Molecule: non-coding RNA, 712 nt
Organism: Lactuca sativa (garden lettuce)
Lineage: Eukaryota; Viridiplantae; Streptophyta; Magnoliopsida; Asterales; Asteraceae
Source: RefSeq, a predicted model, not a curated record